Small nucleolar RNA from Antechinus flavipes (yellow-footed antechinus), 84 nucleotides. RefSeq annotates it as small nucleolar RNA SNORD45. Lineage: Eukaryota; Metazoa; Chordata; Mammalia; Dasyuromorphia; Dasyuridae. The transcript has a single exon. The record is from RefSeq and is a predicted model, not a curated record.
GGUCAAUGAUGUGACGGCAUGUAUUACCUGAAUCCAGAGCUGAUGUAUAACUCAACUUUAGCUCUAGAAUUACUCUGAGGCCUU